UACGUAGGGGGCAAGCGUUAUCCGGAUUUACUGGGUGUAAAGGGAGCGUAGACGGGACAGCAAGUCUGAUGUGAAAGGCGGGGGCUCAACCCCCGGACUGCAUUGGAAACUGUUGACCUGGAGUACCGGAGGGGUAAGCGGAAUUCCUAGUGUAGCGGUGAAAUGCGUAGAUAUUAGGAGGAACACCGGUGGCGAAGGCGGCUUACUGGACGGUAACUGACGUUGAGGCUCGAAAGCGUGGGGAGCAAACAGG
Molecule: ribosomal RNA, 253 nt
Filed under: uncultured bacterium
Lineage: Bacteria
Description: partial 16S ribosomal RNA
Rfam family: Bacterial small subunit ribosomal RNA
Source: RNAcentral